Molecule: ribosomal RNA, 253 nt
Filed under: uncultured bacterium
Lineage: Bacteria
Description: partial 16S ribosomal RNA
Rfam family: Bacterial small subunit ribosomal RNA
Source: RNAcentral
UACGAAGGGGGCUAGCGUUGUUCGGAAUCACUGGGCGUAAAGGGCGCGUAGGCGGCUAUGCAAGUCAGGCGUGAAAGCCCCGGGCUCAACCCGGGAAUUGCGCUUGAUACUGUGUGGCUCGAGUCCGGGAGAGGAUGGCGGAAUUCCCAGUGUAGAGGUGAAAUUCGUAGAUAUUGGGAAGAACACCGGUGGCGAAGGCGGCCAUCUGGACCGGUACUGACGCUGAGGCGCGAAAGCGUGGGGAGCAAACAGG